UGGGGAAUAUUGCGCAAUGGGCGAAAGCCUGACGCAGCAACGCCGCGUGGGGGAUGAAGGUUUUCGGAUUGUAAACCCCUUUCGAUCGGAACGAAUCUCCUCCUGGUAAACAAUCAGGAGGAUCGACGGUACCGAGAGAAGAAGCCACGGCUAACUCUGUGCCAGCAGCCGCGGUAAGACAGAGGUGGCUAGCGUUGUUCGGAUUUAUUGGGCGUAAAGCGAACGCAGGUGGUUUGGUAAGUCAGGGGUGAAAUUCCACAGCUUAACUGUGGCAUUGCCUUUGAUACUGCCUUUCUUGAGUGCAUGAGGGGGAAGCGGAAUUCCGAGUGUAGAGGUGAAAUUCGUAGAUAUUCGGAGGAACACCGGUGGCGAAGGCGGCUUCCUGGCAUGUAACUGACACUCAUGUUCGAAAGCGUGGGUAGCAAACAGGAUUAGAUACCCUGGUAGUCCACGCCCUAAACGAUGGGCACUAGGUGUGGGAGGUAUCGA
This 489-nucleotide ribosomal RNA is filed under the name uncultured bacterium. RNAcentral's name for it is "bacterial SSU rRNA". It matches the Rfam family "Bacterial small subunit ribosomal RNA", at positions 355 to 835 of the family's 1533-position model. The record is from RNAcentral.